CUUUCUUUGCUGGCGACCGGCGCACGGGUGAGUAACACGUAUCCAACCUGCCCUUUACUCGGGGAUAGCCUUUCGAAAGAAAGAUUAAUACCCGAUAGCAUAAUGAUUCCGCAUGGUUUCAUUAUUAAAGGAUUCCGGUAAAGGAUGGGGAUGCGUUCCAUUAGGUUGUUGGUGAGGUAACGGCUCACCAAGCCUUCGAUGGAUAGGGGUUCUGGGAGGAAGGUCCCCCACAUUGGAACUGAGACACGGUCCAA
RNAcentral lists this ribosomal RNA (254 nucleotides) under uncultured bacterium. RNAcentral's name for it is "partial 16S ribosomal RNA". It matches the Rfam family "Bacterial small subunit ribosomal RNA", at positions 79 to 334 of the family's 1533-position model. The record is from RNAcentral.